This is a non-coding RNA of Stegodyphus mimosarum, 46 nucleotides long. NCBI's taxonomy places the organism in Eukaryota, Metazoa, Arthropoda, Arachnida, Araneae, Eresidae. The record is from Rfam.
CAAAAGGCUCUUUUCAGAACCAAUUUUUUUUAAAAAAAUUUUCUCU